AUUGAACGCUGGCGGCAUGCCUUACACAUGCAAGUCGAACGGCAGCACGGGAGCAAUCCUGGUGGCGAGUGGCGAACGGGUGAGUAAUGUAUCGGAACGUACCUUUCAGUGGGGGAUAACGUAGCGAAAGUUACGCUAAUACCGCAUAUUCUGUGAGCAGGAAAGCAGGGGAUCGCAAGACCUUGCGCUGAUUGAGCGGCCGAUAUCAGAUUAGCUAGUUGGUGAGGUAAAGGCUCACCGAGGCGACGAUCUGUAGCGGGUCUGAGAGGAUGAUCCGCCACACUGGAACUGAGACACGGUCCAGACUCCUACGGGAGGCAGCAGUGGGGAAUUUUGGACAAUGGGCGCAAGCCUGAUCCAGCCAUGCCGCGUGAGUGAAGAAGGCCUCGG
Molecule: ribosomal RNA, 390 nt
Filed under: uncultured bacterium
Lineage: Bacteria
Description: bacterial SSU rRNA
Rfam family: Bacterial small subunit ribosomal RNA
Source: RNAcentral